This 483-nucleotide ribosomal RNA is filed under the name uncultured bacterium. Its description in RNAcentral is "bacterial SSU rRNA". It matches the Rfam family "Bacterial small subunit ribosomal RNA", at positions 411 to 905 of the family's 1533-position model. The record is from RNAcentral.
AAGGCCUUCGGGUUGUAAACCGCUUUCAGCAGGGAAGAAGCGAAAGUGACGGUACCUGCAGAAGAAGCACCGGCUAACUAUGUGCCAGCAGCCGCGGUAAUACAUAGGGUGCAAGCGUUGUCCGGAAUUAUUGGGCGUAAAGAGCUCGUAGGUGGUUCGUCACGUCGGAUGUGAAACUCUGGGGCUUAACCCCAGACCUGCAUUCGAUACGGGCGAGCUUGAGUAUGGUAGGGGAGUCUGGAAUUCCUGGUGUAGCGGUGGAAUGCGCAGAUAUCAGGAGGAACACCAAUGGCGAAGGCAGGACUCUGGGCCAUUACUGACACUGAGGAGCGAAAGCGUGGGGAGCGAACAGGAUUAGAUACCCUGGUAGUCCACGCCGUAAACGGUGGGCACUAGUUGUGGGGACCUUCCACGGUCUCUGCGACGCAGCUAACGCAUUAAGUGCCCCGCCUGGGGAGUACGAUCGCAAGAUUAAAACUCAAA